GAUGAACGCUGGCGGCGUGCCUAAUACAUGCAAGUCGAGCGAACAGACGAGGAGCUUGCUCCUCUGACGUUAGCGGCGGACGUGUGAGUAACACGUGGAUAACCUACCUAUAAGACUGGGAUAACUUCGGGAAACCGGAGCUAAUACCGGAUAAUACAUUGAACCGCAUGGUUCAAUAGUGAAAGACGGUUUUGCUGUCACUUAUAGAUGGAUCCGCGCCGCAUUAGCUAGUUGGUAAGAUAACGGCUUACCAAGGCGACGAUGCGUAGCCGACCUGAGAGGGUGAUCGGUCACACUGGAACUGAGACACGGUCCAGACUCCUACGGGAGGCAGCAGUAGGGAAUAUUCCGCAAUGGGCGAAAGCCUGACGGAGCAACGCCGCGUGAGUGAUGAAGGUCUUCGGAUCGUAAAACUCUGUUAUUAGGGAAGAACAAAUGUGUAAGUAACUAUGCACGUCUUGACGGUACCUAAUCAGAAAGCCACGGCUAACUACGUG
RNAcentral lists this ribosomal RNA (497 nucleotides) under uncultured bacterium. RNAcentral's name for it is "partial 16S ribosomal RNA". It matches the Rfam family "Bacterial small subunit ribosomal RNA", at positions 28 to 507 of the family's 1533-position model. The record is from RNAcentral.